This 497-nucleotide ribosomal RNA is filed under the name uncultured bacterium. Its description in RNAcentral is "partial 16S ribosomal RNA". It matches the Rfam family "Bacterial small subunit ribosomal RNA", at positions 28 to 507 of the family's 1533-position model. The record is from RNAcentral.
GAUGAACGCUGGCGGCGUGCCUAAUACAUGCAAGUCGAGCGAACAGACGAGGAGCUUGCUCCUCUGACGUUAGCGGCGGACGGGUGAGUAACACGUGGAUAACCUACCUAUAAGACUGGGAUAACUUCGGGAAACCGGAGCUAAUACCGGAUAAUAUAUUGAACCGCAUGGUUCAAUAGUGAAAGACGGUUUUGCUGUCACUUAUAGAUGGAUCCGCGCCGCAUUAGCUAGUUGGUAAGGUAACGGCUUACCAAGGCAAAGAUGCGUAACCGACCUGAGAGGGUGGUCGGCCGCACUGGAACUGGGACACGGUCCAGACUCCUACGGGAGGCAGCAGUAGGGAAUCUUCCGCAAUAGGCGAAAGCUUGACGGAGCAACGCCGCGUGAGUGAUGAAGGUCUUCGGAUCGUAAAACUCUGUUAUUAGGGAAGAACAAAUGUGUAAGUAACUAUGCACGUCUUGACGGUACCUAAUCAGAAAGCCACGGCUAACUACGUG